AGUGAACGCUGGCGGUAGGCCUAACACAUGCAAGUCGAACGGCAGCACAGUAAGAGCUUGCUCUUACGGGUGGCGAGUGGCGGACGGGUGAGGAAUACAUCGGAAUCUACUUUUUCGUGGGGGAUAACGUAGGGAAACUUACGCUAAUACCGCAUACGACCUACGGGUGAAAGCAGGGGAUCUUCGGACCUUGCGCGAUUGAAUGAGCCGAUGUCGGAUUAGCUAGUUGGCGGGGUAAAGGCCCACCAAGGCGACGAUCCGUAGCUGGUCUGAGAGGAUGAUUCGGCCCACCGGGACCUGGGCACCGUCCCGGCUCCUUAGGGAGGCCGGAGGUGGGAAUUUUUGAAAAAGGGGGGAAACCCUGUCCAGGCAAACCCCGGUGGUGGAAGAAGCCUUCGGGUUGUAAAGCCCUUUUGUUGGGAAAGAAAAGCAGCAGGUUAAUACCCCGCUGUUCUGACGGUACCCAAAGAAUAAGCACCGGCUAACUUCGUG
Molecule: ribosomal RNA, 492 nt
Filed under: uncultured bacterium
Lineage: Bacteria
Description: partial 16S ribosomal RNA
Rfam family: Bacterial small subunit ribosomal RNA
Source: RNAcentral